RNAcentral lists this long non-coding RNA (299 nucleotides) under Locusta migratoria (migratory locust). Its description in RNAcentral is "partial Lnc8469". The record is from RNAcentral. Lineage: Eukaryota; Metazoa; Arthropoda; Insecta; Orthoptera; Acrididae.
GACGGGGGGCACUACAGUUGAGAAUUUGAGUAGGACGGGAAGUGCCCGGGUGGUCUAGGUGGUUAUGGCGACCGCUCGCACCAAGCAGCUAGUCUGGGUUCGAGUCCCGGCUCGCCCNNNNNNNNUUGAACUUUCCCCGCUGAAACCUAGAAACAGACGAGCAGUCAGCUUUUUUUCUAAUUGGUUCAGUUGGCCUAGCAGCGGACCAGUGUUUGUGGGGCGGAGGUGACAGGUGUUCUUGUGGUCUUUCGUGCAGCCGUCUGCGAGCGAGUGCAUCCUGGUGGCGAUGCUGGCGGCGC